Molecule: long non-coding RNA, 230 nt
Filed under: Elaeis guineensis (African oil palm)
Lineage: Eukaryota; Viridiplantae; Streptophyta; Magnoliopsida; Arecales; Arecaceae
Description: long non-coding RNA (EGUI_LNC040680)
Source: RNAcentral
CAAUCAUCUAAUGAUUAGUUUUGGGAUAUAUUUCCCAACACCUUUGUCUCCUCCACUCUCCUUCACCCUUCAUGGAUUCCACUCUUCUUCACCACUAACUUCACCUCCCUUACUCUCCUUCUCUUGAACCAUCUCCAUCACCUCCACUAUCCUCUUGCUCCACCAUCGGCUCUUCCAUUUUCAACCUUAGGUGAUGCCUCUCUUUCUCUACUGCCGGCUUCUCCUCCCCU